UACGGAGGGUGCAAGCGUUAAUCGGAAUUACUGGGCGUAAAGCGCACGCAGGCGGUCUGUCAAGUCGGAUGUGAAAUCCCCGGGCUCAACCUGGGAACUGCAUUCGAAACUGGCAGGCUAGAGUCUUGUAGAGGGGGGUAGAAUUCCAGGUGUAGCGGUGAAAUGCGUAGAGAUCUGGAGGAAUACCGGUGGCGAAGGCGGCCCCCYGGACAAAGACUGAC
RNAcentral lists this ribosomal RNA (221 nucleotides) under Enterobacter cloacae subsp. dissolvens. Its description in RNAcentral is "partial 16S ribosomal RNA". It matches the Rfam family "Bacterial small subunit ribosomal RNA", at positions 524 to 744 of the family's 1533-position model. Lineage: Bacteria; Pseudomonadati; Pseudomonadota; Gammaproteobacteria; Enterobacterales; Enterobacteriaceae. The record is from RNAcentral.